RNAcentral lists this ribosomal RNA (455 nucleotides) under uncultured bacterium. RNAcentral's name for it is "bacterial SSU rRNA". It matches the Rfam family "Bacterial small subunit ribosomal RNA", at positions 96 to 564 of the family's 1533-position model. The record is from RNAcentral.
UGGCGAACGGGUGAGUAACACGUGAGUAACCUGCCCUUCACUUCGGGAUAACCUCGGGAAAUCGUGGCUAAUACCGGAUAUGGAGCUCCUGCCGCAUGGUGGGGGUUGGAAAGAUUUAUCGGUGAGGGAUGGACUCGCGGCCUAUCAGUUUGUUGGUGAGGUAAUGGCUCACCAAGACGAUGACGGGUAGCCGGCCUGAGAGGGCGACCGGCCACACUGGGACUGAGACACGGCCCAGACUCCUACGGGAGGCAGCAGUGGGGAAUAUUGCACAAUGGGCGGAAGCCUGAUGCAGCGACGCCGCGUGGGGGAUGACGGCCUUCGGGUUGUAAACCUCUUUCAGUAGGGAAGAAGCGAAAGUGACGGUACCUGCAGAAGAAGCGCCGGCUAACUACGUGCCAGCAGCCGCGGUAAUACGUAGGGCGCAAGCGUUGUCCGGAAUUAUUGGGCGUAAA